ACCACUCUUGCAGUAUCUCAAGGAGAAAGAAUGGCUGCUCCAGCAGGAUCCAAAGUUCAGAGGUCCUACAUAUAUGGGAAGUUGAAAUUGUCAUGCGAGAUGGCUGAUAUGAGCAUUGCACAUAGCUGCAUACCUUCAAUAUGGGAACCUCAUUCAGCCUGUAAUGAUCCAUAGGUGAUAACUGUUCAUUUGUUAGUUGUUAACAUGUAAUAUGUGUUAAUGUGUGUGCAUAUGUAACCAUUCUUCCAGAAGAAGAGCUCAAGAAACUCCGUAGAAAAAUUCUCAUCUGUAGGAUUAUAUAUAUGGGAACUUCAUUCAGCCUGUAAUGAUCCAUAGGUGAUAACUGUUCAUUUGUUAGUUGUUAACAUGUAAUGUGUGUUAAUGUGUGUGCAUAUGUAACCAUUCUUCCAGAAGAAAGAGCUCAAGAAACUCCGUAGAAAAAAUUCUGAUCUGUAGGAU
RNAcentral lists this long non-coding RNA (459 nucleotides) under Populus trichocarpa (black cottonwood). RNAcentral describes it as "long non-coding RNA (PTRI_LNC002692)". Lineage: Eukaryota; Viridiplantae; Streptophyta; Magnoliopsida; Malpighiales; Salicaceae. The record is from RNAcentral.